RNAcentral lists this ribosomal RNA (253 nucleotides) under uncultured bacterium. RNAcentral's name for it is "partial 16S ribosomal RNA". It matches the Rfam family "Bacterial small subunit ribosomal RNA", at positions 524 to 776 of the family's 1533-position model. The record is from RNAcentral.
UACGGAGGGUGCAAGCGUUAAUCGGAAUUACUGGGCGUAAAGCGUGCGCAGGCGGUUUUGUAAGACAGGCGUGAAAUCCCCGGGCUCAACCUGGGAAUGGCGCUUGUGACUGCAAGGCUGGAGUGCGGCAGGGGGGGAUGGAAUUCCGCGUGUAGCAGUGAAAUGCGUAGAUAUGCGGAGGAACACCGAUGGCGAAGGCAAUCCCCUGGGCCUGCACUGACGCUCAUGCACGAAAGCGGUGGGAGCAAACAGG